Perca fluviatilis (European perch) is the source of this 688-nucleotide non-coding RNA. The record is from the annotation of a RefSeq genome assembly. Lineage: Eukaryota; Metazoa; Chordata; Actinopteri; Perciformes; Percidae.
GAGCACCGUUGGCUCUAUUAGUGAGUCUAUUUAUCUGCUGUACUGUAGGGGGACCUCAAGGACCACAAAUACUCAGUUAUACUUUUGAUCAGAAGCCACACAAUAUAUGACACUCCCACCUGCAACUCUUUAUCUCUGUGACUACACUGACAGUUUUCUGACUUUCUGAACAUGGACAACAUCAAACACACUCUCAUCAGCUUGUUACUAUUUCUGCUCUGCAUAAAAGGUCUUAUUGAUGGGAGUGAUGUCACCAAGACUGACAUACUGUGGAAAAAACAGGGGGAGAACGCAACAAUGAACUGCAACUACCCCAUGGGUUCUGGCUUCUUCCAGAUGUACUGGUACAGACAGCUGCCAGGAGAAACAAUAAAACUAAUAGUCUUCACAAGACUCGGCAAAAAUGAUCAUGAUUUUGGAGAUUUCACUAAAGAGAAAUUCUCAGCCACCAAGCCUGAUGCUUUGAGUGGGACGUUCACAGUGAAGAAUCUGGAGCCAGAAGAUAAAGGCUUGUAUUUCUGUGCUGUGAGUCAACACAGUGAUACAGACACAUUCAACAGCUGAACAAAAACCCCAGAGCCCCGUUGGCUCUAUUAGUGAGUCAGUUUAUCUGCUGUACUGUAGGGGGACCUCAAGGACCACAAAUUCUCAAGUUACACAUUUGAUCAGAAGCCACACAAUAUAUGAC